GUUUGAUCCUGGCUCAGAACGAACGCUGGCGGCGUGGAUAAGACAUGCAAGUCGAACGAGACUUUUCGUUGUAGCAAUACGAUGGAAAGUUUAGUGGCGAACGGGUGCUUAACACGUGGGCAACCUGCCAGGAAGUGGGGGAUAGCUCGCCGAAAGGCGAAUUAAUACCGCAUGUGAUUAGAGAGGACAUCCUUUCAAAAUUAAAGUCGGGGCAUCCUGACGCUUCUUGUGGGGCCCGCGGCCUAUCAGCUAGUUGGUGAGGUAACGGCCCACCAAGGCUUUGACGGGUAGCUGGUCUGAGAGGACGACCAGCCACACUGGGACUGAGACACGGCCCAGACACCUACGGGUGGCAGCAGUCGAGAAUUUUUGACAAUGGGGGAAACCCUGAUCGAGCG
This 398-nucleotide ribosomal RNA is filed under the name uncultured Verrucomicrobium sp. RNAcentral's name for it is "bacterial SSU rRNA". It matches the Rfam family "Bacterial small subunit ribosomal RNA", at positions 11 to 393 of the family's 1533-position model. Lineage: Bacteria; Pseudomonadati; Verrucomicrobiota; Verrucomicrobiia; Verrucomicrobiales; Verrucomicrobiaceae. The record is from RNAcentral.